This 804-nucleotide ribosomal RNA is filed under the name Actinomycetales bacterium 26-10PB. Its description in RNAcentral is "bacterial SSU rRNA". It matches the Rfam family "Bacterial small subunit ribosomal RNA", at positions 69 to 883 of the family's 1533-position model. The record is from RNAcentral. Lineage: Bacteria; Bacillati; Actinomycetota; Actinomycetes; Actinomycetales.
AUGAUCCCCAGCUUGCUGGGGGUUUUAGUGGCGAACGGGUGAGUAACACGUGAGUAACCUGCCCUUAACUCUGGGAUAAGCCUGGGAAACUGGGUCUAAUACCGGAUAUGACUCCUCAUCGCAUGGUGGGGGGUGGAAAGCUUUUUGUGGUUUUGGAUGGACUCGCGGCCUAUCAGCUUGUUGGUGAGGUAAUGGCUCACCAAGGCGACGACGGGUAGCCGGCCUGAGAGGGUGACCGGCCACACUGGGACUGAGACACGGCCCAGACUCCUACGGGAGGCAGCAGUGGGGAAUAUUGCACAAUGGGCGCAAGCCUGAUGCAGCGACGCCGCGUGAGGGAUGACGGCCUUCGGGUUGUAAACCUCUUUCAGUAGGGAAGAAGCGAAAGUGACGGUACCUGCAGAAGAAGCGCCGGCUAACUACGUGCCAGCAGCCGCGGUAAUACGUAGGGCGCAAGCGUUAUCCGGAAUUAUUGGGCGUAAAGAGCUCGUAGGCGGUUUGUCGCGUCUGCCGUGAAAGUCCGGGGCUCAACUCCGGAUCUGCGGUGGGUACGGGCAGACUAGAGUGAUGUAGGGGAGACUGGAAUUCCUGGUGUAGCGGUGAAAUGCGCAGAUAUCAGGAGGAACACCGAUGGCGAAGGCAGGUCUCUGGGCAUUAACUGACGCUGAGGAGCGAAAGCAUGGGGAGCGAACAGGAUUAGAUACCCUGGUAGUCCAUGCCGUAAACGUUGGGCACUAGGUGUGGGGGACAUUCCACGUUUUCCGCGCCGUAGCUAACGCAUUAAGUGCCCCGCCUGGGGAGUAC